Molecule: ribosomal RNA, 504 nt
Filed under: uncultured fungus
Lineage: Eukaryota; Fungi
Description: SSU rRNA
Rfam family: Eukaryotic small subunit ribosomal RNA
Source: RNAcentral
GAUUCAUAAUAACUUAACGAAUCGCAUGGCCUUGCGCCGGCGAUGGUUCAUUCAAAUUUCUGCCCUAUCAACUUUCGAUGGUAAGAUAGAGGCUUACCAUGGUCUUAACGGGUAACGGAGAAUUAGGGUUCGAUUCCGGAGAGGGAGCCGGAGGAACGGCUACCACAUCCAAGGAAGGCAGCAGGCGCGCAAAUUACCCAAUGCUAAUUCAGCGAGGUAGUGACAAUAAAUACUGAUACGGGGCUCUUUCGGGUCUCGUAAUUGGAAUGAGUACAAUCUAAAUCCCUUAACGAGGAACAAUUGGAGGGCAAGUCUGGUGCCAGCAGCCGCGGUAAUUCCAGCUCCAAUAGCGUAUAUUAAAGUUGUUGCCGUUAAAAAGCUCGUAGUUGAACCUUGGAUCUGGCUGAUCUGUCCUCCUAAUCGAGCGCACGGAUUCGGUCGGAUCUUUCCUUCUGGGGAGCCCUAUGCCCUUCACUGGGUGUAGUGGGGAACCAGGACUUUUAC